UUCUGCUUUGAUGAUGUAUGAUAAUCCCAGCUCGAUGAGACCUUUCGUAGGUCAGGGAAUAGUCUUUACCCAUUAAAGUAUCUGAGCCUAAAG
This 93-nucleotide small nucleolar RNA is filed under the name Cucumis sativus (cucumber). The record is from RNAcentral. Lineage: Eukaryota; Viridiplantae; Streptophyta; Magnoliopsida; Cucurbitales; Cucurbitaceae.